UACGUAGGGCGCAAGCGUUGUCCGGAAUUAUUGGGCGUAAAGAGCUCGUAGGCGGCCAGUUGCGUCUGCUGUGAAAUCCCGGGGCUCAACCCCGGGCGUGCAGUGGAUACGGGCUGGCUAGAGGCAGGCAGGGGAGAACGGAAUUCCCGGUGUAGCGGUGAAAUGCGCAGAUAUCGGGAAGAACACCCGUGGCGAAGGCGGCUCUCUGGGACGGUACUGACGCUGAGACGCGAAAGCGUGGGGAGCGAACAGG
This 253-nucleotide ribosomal RNA is filed under the name uncultured bacterium. RNAcentral's name for it is "partial 16S ribosomal RNA". It matches the Rfam family "Bacterial small subunit ribosomal RNA", at positions 524 to 776 of the family's 1533-position model. The record is from RNAcentral.